AACGCAUCUUGCGCUCCUUGGUAUUCCGAGGAGCAUGCCUGUUUGAGUGUCAUUAAAUUCUCAACUACACUGACUUUGUUAGUGCAGCUUGGAUUUGGGGGGAUUUUGUUGCAGGCCUUGUAAAUGAAGUCCAGCUCCCCUGAAAUUUAUUAGCAGGCAAACCUUUGUAGAGUUAUCUACAGGUGUGAUAAUUUAUCUACAUCUUAGAUUUCUACGGGAAAUGAGGUUUAUUUCUGCCUAUAGUUCUAAAUGAUGAUCUUGACCUCAAAUCAGGUAGGACUACCCGCUGAACUUAA
This 296-nucleotide unclassified non-coding RNA is filed under the name uncultured Agaricales. Its description in RNAcentral is "sequence contains 5.8S rRNA gene, ITS2, 28S rRNA gene". The stretch from base 1 to 52 matches the Rfam family "5.8S ribosomal RNA", at positions 103 to 154 of the family's 154-position model. Lineage: Eukaryota; Fungi; Basidiomycota; Agaricomycetes; Agaricales. The record is from RNAcentral.